RNAcentral lists this ribosomal RNA (229 nucleotides) under uncultured bacterium. RNAcentral describes it as "partial 16S ribosomal RNA". It matches the Rfam family "Bacterial small subunit ribosomal RNA", at positions 118 to 347 of the family's 1533-position model. The record is from RNAcentral.
UGGGCAACCUGCCCUCAGCUCUGGGAUAACUCCAAGAAAUUGGGGCUAAUACCGGAUAUGACCACUGACCGCAUGGUCUGGUGGUGGAAAGAUUUAUCGGCUGGGGAUGGGCCCGCGGCCUAUCAGCUUGUUGGUGGGGUAGUGGCCUACCAAGGCGACGACGGGUAGCCGGCCUGAGAGGGUGACCGGCCACACUGGGACUGAUACACGGCCCAGACUCCUACGGGAG